RNAcentral lists this ribosomal RNA (520 nucleotides) under uncultured Glomus. RNAcentral's name for it is "SSU rRNA". It matches the Rfam family "Eukaryotic small subunit ribosomal RNA", at positions 568 to 1092 of the family's 1831-position model. Lineage: Eukaryota; Fungi; Glomeromycota; Glomeromycetes; Glomerales; Glomeraceae. The record is from RNAcentral.
CAGCAGCCGCGGUAAUCCAGCUCCAAUAGCGUAUAUUAAAGUGUUGCAGUUAAAAAGCUCGUAGUUGAAUUCGGGAUCAAUAUUCGGUCAUGCCGUUGGUAUGCACUGUUAUCAUUGAUUCUCACCUUCUAAAGAACCGUAAUGCCAUUAAUUUGGUGUUACGGGGAAUUAGGACUGUUACCUUGAAAAAAUUAGAGUGUUUAAAGCAGGCUCACGCUUGAAUACAUUAGCAUGGAAUAAUGAAAUAGGACAUCCGAUUCUAUUUUGUUGGUUUCUAGGAUCGAUGUAAUGAUUAAUAGGGAUAGUUGGGGGGCAUUAGUAUUCAAUUGUCAGAGGUGAAAUUCUUGGAUUUAUUGAAGACUAACUACUGCGAAAGCAUUUGCCAAGGAUGUUUUCAUUAAUCAAGAACGAAAGUUAGGGGAUCGAAGACGAUCAGAUACCGUCGUAGUCUUAACCAUAAACUAUGCCGACUAGGGAUCGGAUGAUGUUAAUUUUUUAAUGACUCAUUCGGCGCCUUACG